GCGGUAUCUCACACACCUGUGCACCCGGCGUACGUCUCGAGACUCUCGAGGCGUUCACUACAUUUUUCUUUUACAACGAUGCCUGUAACGAAAAAGCAUGUCUCUUGAGCUCUACGGAGCGCAAACAACGUUAAUACAACUUUCAACAACGGAUCUCUUGGCUUUCGCAUCGAUGAAGAACGCCGCGAAAGUGCGAAACGUAAUGUGAAUUGCAGAAUUCAGUGAAUCAUCGAAUCUUUGAACGCAUCUUGCGCUCCUUGGUAUUCCGAGGAGCAUGCCUGUUUGAGUGUCGUAAAAGUAUCUCGAGUCCGAGUCUCUUUUGACUCGGGGUUCGGAUUUGGACGUUUGCCGUCGUGAGACGGCUCGUCUCGAAAUGCAUCGGCCGUUCCCAUUUCCACAGACAACGGUGUGAUAAACGAAAAUUCGCUCGCGUUUUGUGGUAACGGGGGACGGCUCACGGUCGUCCUUUUUGGACAAU
RNAcentral lists this ribosomal RNA (478 nucleotides) under Hysterangium stoloniferum. RNAcentral describes it as "eukaryotic LSU rRNA". The stretch from base 138 to 292 matches the Rfam family "5.8S ribosomal RNA". Lineage: Eukaryota; Fungi; Basidiomycota; Agaricomycetes; Hysterangiales; Hysterangiaceae. The record is from RNAcentral.